Molecule: non-coding RNA, 73 nt
Organism: Molorchus minor
Lineage: Eukaryota; Metazoa; Arthropoda; Insecta; Coleoptera; Cerambycidae
Source: the annotation of a GenBank genome assembly
UUCUUUUUGGUCUAGUGGCUAUAAUACCUGGCUUUCACCCGGUAGGACCGGGUUCGAUUCCCGGAACUGGAAU